This 270-nucleotide ribosomal RNA is filed under the name uncultured soil bacterium. RNAcentral's name for it is "partial 16S ribosomal RNA". It matches the Rfam family "Bacterial small subunit ribosomal RNA", at positions 27 to 278 of the family's 1533-position model. The record is from RNAcentral.
GGAAUCAACGCUGGCGGCGUGCCUCAGACAUGCAAGUCGAACGCGAAAGUCCCCUUCGGGGGACAAGUAGAGUGGCGCACGGGUGAGUAACACGUAGGUAAUCUACCUUCGGAUGGGGAAUAACAAUCGGAAACGGUUGCUAAUACCGCAUAAUGCAGCGGCACCUAAUGGUGACAGUUGUUAAAAGCGGGGGAUCGAAAGACCUCGCGUCUGAAGAGGAGCCUGCGGCGGAUUAGCUAGUUGGUAAGGUAAUGGCUUACCAAGGCUACG